RNAcentral lists this ribosomal RNA (467 nucleotides) under uncultured bacterium. RNAcentral describes it as "partial 16S ribosomal RNA". It matches the Rfam family "Bacterial small subunit ribosomal RNA", at positions 28 to 506 of the family's 1533-position model. The record is from RNAcentral.
GACGAACGCUGGCGGCGUGCUUAACACAUGCAAGUCGAACGGAAAGGCCCUGCUUUUGUGGGGUGCUCGAGUGGCGAACGGGUGAGUAACACGUGAGUAACCUGCCCUUGACUUUGGGAUAACUUCAGGAAACUGGGGCUAAUACCGGAUAGGAGCUCCUGCUGCAUGGUGGGGGUUGGAAAGUUUCGGCGGUUGGGGAUGGACUCGCGGCUUAUCAGCUUGUUGGUGGGGUAGUGGCUUACCAAGGCUUUGACGGGUAGCCGGCCUGAGAGGGUGACCGGCCACAUUGGGACUGAGAUACGGCCCAGACUCCUACGGGAGGCAACAGUGGGGAAUAGUGCACAAUGGGCGGAAGCCUGAUGCAGCAACGCCGCGUGCGGGAUGACGGCCUUCGGGUUGUAAACCGCUUUCGCCUGUGACGAAGCGUGAGUGACGGUAAUGGGUAAAGAAGCACCGGCUAACUACGU